UACGUAGGUGGCAAGCGUUGUCCGGAUUUACUGGGCGUAAAGAGCGCGCAGGCGGUCGUUCAAGUCGCGUGUGAAAGCCCCGGGCUCAACCCGGGAAGUGCACUCGAUACUGCGUGGCUUGAGUACCGGAGAGGUUGGUGGAAUUCUCGGUGUAGAGGUGAAAUUCGUAGAUAUCGAGAGGAACACCGGUGGCGAAGGCGGCCAACUGGACGAAUACUGACGCUGAGACUCGAAAGCGUGGGGAGCAAACAGG
This 253-nucleotide ribosomal RNA is filed under the name uncultured bacterium. RNAcentral describes it as "partial 16S ribosomal RNA". It matches the Rfam family "Bacterial small subunit ribosomal RNA", at positions 524 to 776 of the family's 1533-position model. The record is from RNAcentral.